GCAUAAUGUUAUUUGGGGCAUCCCUGAAUACCAAAGCUUUAUGUGCUGAAAGAUGGUCUCGCGUCUGAUUAGCUAGUUGGUGAGGUAACGGCUCACCCAAGGCGACGAUCAGUAGCCGGUCUGAGAGGAUGAACGGCCACAUUGGGACUGAGAUACGGCCCAGACUCCUACGGGAGGCAGCAGUGGGAAUAUUGGGCAAUGGGCGAAAGCCUGACCCAGCAACGCCGCGUGAAGGAAGAAGGCCUUCGGGUUGUAAACUUCUUUUACCAGGGACGAAGAACGUGACGGUACCUGGAGAAAAAGCAACGGCUAACUACGUG
Molecule: ribosomal RNA, 320 nt
Filed under: uncultured bacterium
Lineage: Bacteria
Description: bacterial SSU rRNA
Rfam family: Bacterial small subunit ribosomal RNA
Source: RNAcentral